ACCUGACCGGAGAGCCGGCUAGAUAUGGCGUCCUCUUUGCUUGCGGGCGAGCGAUUGAUUCCAAACUAUACCUCCAUGAGCUCCUAGAAGGCAGUGAAAUCUAUCUCCCAGAGGUUGUGAAGCCUCCACGGAACCCAGAACUAGUUGCCCGGCUGGAGAAGAUUAAGAUACAGCUGGCCAAUGAGGAAUAUAAACGGAUCACCCGCAACGUCACUUGUCAGGAUACAAGACAUGGUGGGACUCUCAGCGACCUGGGAAAGCAAGUGAGAUCAUUGAAGGCUCUGGUCAUCACCAUCUUCAAUUUCAUUGUCACGGUGGUUGCUGCCUUCGUCUGCACUUACCUUGGAAGCCAAUAUAUCUUCACAGAAAUGGCCUCGACCUGUAAUUGAGUUCAGAAGCCUCCAAGAAAACAGAAAGGAUCCCCUUUCUCCAGUUUGUGCUGGAAGAGGAGCUGAUCAGAGACAUCAAAUAAGAGAAAGAUGGGUUGCUAGAGGAUGGUAGAACUGGAAGCAAGGCAGCUACCUUUUUGCAAAAGGAAAUGGUGUUAGGCCCCUUUUCCAGAAGAUAAGACAGACUCAUAGAGAUUAAAUGAUCACUAUGGUCCUUCUUCUGUUAAAUGGAGCCAAAGACGCCUAUGUUGUUCUGAAGUCUUGUAAUGUUUAACUUCUGAGAACUUAGAUUAGUGGUGUGAUGAUAGAGUCUGUAUAACGCAUUGAAAAGGGUAUCAGGCUUAGUUAUUUAUCCAAUAAAUAUUUAUUGUAUGCAGGGUAUUCCUAUUUUAACUCCUGUGACAACACAAAGCAUAGCGAUUUCCAUAGUUCUAACUGUUCAGGGUCUGCUCCUCCUGGUACACUCUUUUUGGUUCACUGUAUGUACUCCUGUUGUCUUUUUUUUUUUUUCCAAAGCACUUUUCUGUUUUCAUAAAUUAUAUACUCAUUCACUCAGUGGACACUUCCUCUACAAUGUUUGCCAGUUUCUGUUAGUUGGGAGAAGUGUCAGCUGUGAAAAGAAAAAGUAGGUGGCAUUUUACAGUGUUUCCAGUAACCUGAGCUAUAUAAAAUUUGUGUUAAAAAGCUACACUGGGCCAGGUGAGGUGGCUCACACCUGUAAUCGUAGCAUUUUGGGAGGCUGAGGCAGGCGGAUCACUUGAGGUUGGGAGUUUAAGACCAGCAUGGCCAAUAUAGCGAAACCCCAUCUUUACUAAAAAUACAAAAAAAUUAGCCAGGCGUGGUGGUACAUGCCUGUAAUCCCAGCACUUUGGGAGACCAAGGUGGGAGG
RNAcentral lists this long non-coding RNA (1278 nucleotides) under Homo sapiens (human). RNAcentral describes it as "HSALNT0389183". The record is from RNAcentral. Lineage: Eukaryota; Metazoa; Chordata; Mammalia; Primates; Hominidae.